UAACGUGAGCGUCCUAAGGUAGCGCGAUAAUUUGCUUUUUAAUUGAAGGAUGGUAUGAAAGGGUUAACGAAGAAGGUGCUGUGUCUAAAAAUUCAAUUUAAACUAACUUUAAGGUGAAGAGGCCUUUAUGUAAAAGAAGGACGACAAGACCCUAUGAAGCUUUAUCUUAAUUGGAGCUUUCAGGCUCUUAUACGAUUUUGAUGGGAGAUCAGUAGAAAUAAGUCCUCUACUAUUAUAUUAAUCUUACUAGUAUUUCCUAACUUUAUAUGUGUGACUAGCUACUCUAGGGAUAACAGCGCAAUUUCUCCCGAAAGAUGGUAUUGGAGGGGAAGAUUGCGACCUCGAUGUUGGCUUUAGAUACCCUAGAGGCGUAGAAGCUUCU
This 382-nucleotide ribosomal RNA is filed under the name Mytilus galloprovincialis (Mediterranean mussel). RNAcentral describes it as "partial 16S ribosomal RNA". It matches the Rfam family "Bacterial large subunit ribosomal RNA", at positions 1937 to 2566 of the family's 2925-position model. Lineage: Eukaryota; Metazoa; Mollusca; Bivalvia; Mytilida; Mytilidae. The record is from RNAcentral.